GGGGUCUGGUUUUAUAGUCCCCUCAAGUGAACGUGGGCCGUUGGAUCAAACCGACAUUGAUUGGACGAUUAUCCUUGAUCCUUUAGGUCGGUGGAACAUCGUGUGCGAAAAGAGUUCCGAUUUGAGUACAGAGGGGGGCGGGCGCCCAGGUCCUCAGGGCGGGCGCCCUGGGCCUGGCCCCUUUCGGCCUCUGCUUCGUUCUCGUGGCUUUUGGAGUCUUCUAGAUGGUAGAAAAUUGCGCGGUGCGUUGAUAUCUCUAUGUAAUCCUG
RNAcentral lists this long non-coding RNA (269 nucleotides) under Sorghum bicolor (sorghum). RNAcentral describes it as "long non-coding RNA (SBIC_LNC014007)". The record is from RNAcentral. Lineage: Eukaryota; Viridiplantae; Streptophyta; Magnoliopsida; Poales; Poaceae.